GAUCAUUACCGAGUACAACUCGCCAACCCACUGUGAACAUACCUCAGUUGCUUCGGCGGACCCGCCCCGGCGCCCUCGGGCCCGGACCAGGCGCCCGCCGGAGGACCCCAAACCACUGAAUUACCAUGUGUAUCUUCUGAGCAAAGGCGAAAGCCGAAAAUGAAUUAAAACUUUCAACAACGGAUCUCUUGGUUCUGGCAUCGAUGAAGAACGCAGCGAAAUGCGAUAAGUAAUGUGAAUUGCAGAGCUCAGUGAACCAUCGAAUUUUUGAACGCACAUUGCGCCCGCCAGCACUCUGGCGGGCAUGCCUGUCCGAGCGUCAUUUCAACCCCUCGGGCCCCCUUCACGGGGCGGCCCGGUGUUGGGGAUCGCCCGCCCCCCGCGGCGGGCGUCCCCCAAAUCCAGUGGCGGACCUUCCGCGCCUCCCCUGCGUAGUACUGCACCUCGCACCGGAGCGCGCUGGGGCCCUGCCGUAAAACCCCCCACUUCUCAAGGUUGACCUCGGAUCAGGUAGGAAUACCCGCUGAACUUAAGCAUAUCA
RNAcentral lists this unclassified non-coding RNA (541 nucleotides) under Acrodontium salmoneum. RNAcentral describes it as "sequence contains 18S rRNA gene, ITS1, 5.8S rRNA gene, ITS2, 28S rRNA gene". The stretch from base 169 to 322 matches the Rfam family "5.8S ribosomal RNA". The record is from RNAcentral. Lineage: Eukaryota; Fungi; Ascomycota; Dothideomycetes; Mycosphaerellales; Teratosphaeriaceae.